GCCUGAGUGGCGGAAUUGGUAGACGCGCACGACUCAAAAUCGUGUGCCUUCGGGCGUGCCGGUUCGAUUCCGGCCUUAGGUA
Molecule: transfer RNA, 82 nt
Filed under: Flammeovirgaceae bacterium
Lineage: Bacteria; Pseudomonadati; Bacteroidota; Cytophagia; Cytophagales; Flammeovirgaceae
Also listed under: 2 other names
Description: tRNA-Leu
Rfam family: tRNA
About the family: Transfer RNA (tRNA) molecules are approximately 80 nucleotides in length. Their secondary structure includes four short double-helical elements and three loops (D, anti-codon, and T loops). Further hydrogen bonds mediate the characteristic L-shaped molecular structure. tRNAs have two regions of fundamental functional importance: the anti-codon, which is responsible for specific mRNA codon recognition, and the 3' end, to which the tRNAs corresponding amino acid is attached (by aminoacyl-tRNA synthetases). tRNAs cope with the degeneracy of the genetic code in two manners: having more than one tRNA (with a specific anti-codon) for a particular amino acid; and 'wobble' base-pairing, i.e. permitting non-standard base-pairing at the 3rd anti-codon position.
Source: RNAcentral